Molecule: transfer RNA, 67 nt
Filed under: Marmota monax (woodchuck)
Lineage: Eukaryota; Metazoa; Chordata; Mammalia; Rodentia; Sciuridae
Description: tRNA.Ala
Rfam family: tRNA (bases 5-64)
About the family: Transfer RNA (tRNA) molecules are approximately 80 nucleotides in length. Their secondary structure includes four short double-helical elements and three loops (D, anti-codon, and T loops).
Source: RNAcentral
GGAUUGUGGCUCAGUGGUAGAGCGCUCCCCUAGCAUGGGCAAAACCCGAGUUCGAUUCUCAGCACCA